UACGUAGGGUGCAAGCGUUGUCCGGAAUUAUUGGGCGUAAAGAGCUCGUAGGCGGUUUGUCGCGUCGAAUGUGAAAACCCGGGGCUCAACCCCGGGCCUGCAUUCGAUACGGGCAGACUAGAGUUCGGUAGGGGAGUCUGGAAUUCCUGGUGUAGCGGUGAAAUGCGCAGAUAUCAGGAGGAACACCUGUGGCGAAAGCGGCUCACUGGACCACAACUGACGCUGAGGCGCGAAAGCGUGGGGAGCAAACAGG
This 253-nucleotide ribosomal RNA is filed under the name uncultured bacterium. Its description in RNAcentral is "partial 16S ribosomal RNA". It matches the Rfam family "Bacterial small subunit ribosomal RNA", at positions 524 to 776 of the family's 1533-position model. The record is from RNAcentral.